Malus domestica (apple) is the source of this 831-nucleotide long non-coding RNA. RefSeq lists it as uncharacterized. Lineage: Eukaryota; Viridiplantae; Streptophyta; Magnoliopsida; Rosales; Rosaceae. The record is from RefSeq and is a predicted model, not a curated record.
UUGACACCCCGCGUGGGUCUUCACGCCUUCCCGUGCAUCACUAUCUUCUUCACUACAACAUUUCCUUCUCUCCUUCACUUCCGUCUCCCAUUCACACAACACUUCCGUCUCUCCUUCACACAACCCUUCCCUCACCAUCUCUGUGCUUACUGCACAGAAAAUCGCAGCACCAUCUCCACCUCAUUCGCCACUCCGGUAAACCUUGCCACCACCUAAACACCACACUGGCACUCUCUCUCUCUCUCCUCUCCUCUCCCCCCCCUCUCGGCUUCUUCCUUGACAGACAGAAGCACAUAAGGAAUGACGGUGGGGGAACUGCCGUUCUCUGGCGAGGCAACCACCAGCUUUAUUCCUCUCGUCACCACGGACUCCCAUUACUUUUUGCUUUUUGGAAACCAAAAUCGACGCGGUGAAGUGACGAGCUCCGUCGCGGCCUAACUUCCCCGGUGAGAUUUUCCGUCGAAUCUAGUAUAGUUUCAAUUCGGGAGAAAUUCCCCAGAUUUCCGGUGAGGCCCGCGAGUUUCAGGCUGAUUUUAGGCUAUCACCGGCCGCCGAAUGGCCGUGAGGAAGCUGCAGGGAAUGGCGCGUGGAGCUGUGCGUGGUGCACAGAUGCCUUCACCGAAGGAUGAGUGGCUGAAAGGAAGAAUAUACGUUUGAAAUCAUUACCUUGUUUUUUUUCUUUAAUUUAUAAUGUUGAUUACUUGGUUCAGUCUGAUCUGUUAAGAAGAGAAACUAUGAGCAAUAUUUUCCUCUAUUCCGAUCUGGUGUUUUCAAAUGUUUGUUUCAGGUUGUAAUGUGUUACGAUGUUAUUUUUAAUUUUUUUUUUCUUUU